RNAcentral lists this ribosomal RNA (497 nucleotides) under uncultured bacterium. RNAcentral's name for it is "partial 16S ribosomal RNA". It matches the Rfam family "Bacterial small subunit ribosomal RNA", at positions 28 to 507 of the family's 1533-position model. The record is from RNAcentral.
GACGAACGCUGGCGGCGUGCCUAAUACAUGCAAGUAGAACGCUGAAGAGAGGAGCUUGCUCUUCUUGGAUGAGUUGCGAACGGGUGAGUAACGCGUAGGUAACCUGCCUUGUAGCGGGGGAUAACUAUUGGAAACGAUAGCUAAUACCGCAUAACAAUGGCUGACACAUGUCAUUUAUUUGAAAGGGGCAAUUGCUCCACUACAAGAUGGACCUGCGUUGUAUUAGCUAGUAGGUGAGGUAAUGGCUCACCUAGGCGACGAUACAUAGCCGACCUGAGAGGGUGAUCGGCCACACUGGGACUGAGACACGGCCCAGACUCCUACGGGAGGCAGCAGUAGGGAAUCUUCGGCAAUGGGGGCAACCCUGACCGAGCAACGCCGCGUGAGUGAAGAAGGGUUUCGGAUCGUAAAGCUCUGUUGUAAGUCAAGAACGGGUGUGAGAGUGGAAAGUUCACACUGUGACGGUAGCUUACCAGAAAGGGACGGCUAACUACGUG